Molecule: long non-coding RNA, 4358 nt
Organism: Tachysurus fulvidraco (yellow catfish)
Lineage: Eukaryota; Metazoa; Chordata; Actinopteri; Siluriformes; Bagridae
Exons: 4
Source: RefSeq, a predicted model, not a curated record
AUAUGUCUACUUGGAGGGGGGCUCUCCAAAAUUUCCGACAUAUUUAAUCCCCGCAAGGGAUAGUGUGAUCCACGCCCAGAGUCGGACACCGCUCUCUCAGACGGGUUACAGAGGCCGGCCAUAACAUUACGGAGCUGAAAAGAGAAAAAAGAGAAGAGCAGAGGAAGAAAAGCAAGCUCAAAGUAAAGGGGCAAUGCUGAAAUUUCUUAGUCCACCCACAGUUACAGAGACAGAUCCAUCUCUAUCUGAAGUUGGAUCUGCUGGCAAUUUACUGAAUCAGAGGCAGAACCUCAGUCUUCAGAACCCCAUACAUCAGAUCAGACUGCUUUACCUGCUGUAGAUGUAUCUGCUGAUGUCAUGCAAGCACCACCACUUGAUCCAGCUGACUGGCCAUCUGUCUUAUCAGAUGCAGUUAAAAUGCAUUUUGUAAACAGAUGUCCAUUGCAACCCAAUUCUGACUUCACCUUUCCUAAGACGGAAGAUGGUACAGUAGAUUAUGCCACCGCAAUUAUUAUUACAGAACCUUAGUUAAUGGUGAGGAAAUGAGGAGAAGCUGGCUAAGCUAUUCACCUAAAACCAAUGCACUCUUUUGCUAUUGCUGUAAACUGUUUUCUGAGCACAACAUAGUCAGAAAAGGAAUAAAUGACUGGGAAAAUGCACCAUCUUAUUUAAACAUCCAUGAGAUCUCUCCUGAACACAUCAAACAUUUGGCAGCAUGGAAGGAGUUAGAGAUGCGUCUCAAAAAAGGAAAACUAUAGACAUGCAAGAAAUGUCACUACUAGAGUCUGAAAAGAUGCUAGAGAGAUGUUCUUACCCAUUUAGUAGCUAUAUCAUCCAGUCCCUUGCAUGCAGAAGCCUAGCAUUAAGAGGAUCAAGUGACACACUGUAUCAACUAACAAUGGCAACUUUUUAAAAGAGGUGGAACUUCUUGCUAAGUUUGAUCCUGUAAUGCAAAAACAUAUUGCAAGAGUACAAUGUGCUACUGGCCACCAGCCACAUUACCUGGGGAAGACAAUUCAGAAUGAGCUUAUUGCAGCAAUGAGUGGCAAAGUAACAGAAAAAACUGUGACAGAAAUUAAAGCUGCCAAAUACUACUUAGUCGUUCUAGAUUGCACCCCCAAUGAAAGCCACCAAGUGUGAGUUGUCAUAAGAACAGUCACUUUCAAUGACAUGCCUGAAUUCAAGGAGCAUUUACUCGGAUUCCUUGCAGCUGAAGCAACCACUGGUGAGACAAUUGGGCAAGCACAAGGGUGUCCAGGAAAGGCUGCUGGAUAAGAAUCCACGUGCAUUUUUGUACCAUGUGGUACACAUACACUAAAUUUAGUUGUAGCUAAUGCAGCCAAAGCCUCUUUGGAUGCAAGUAGUUAUUUUGGAUACCUCCAAAAAAUCUACUGCCUUUUUUCAGCAGUUCCUCAAAGGUGGGCAAUACUUCUUGCAAAAAACAUGUGGAAAUCAAUGUAAAGGGCUGGACAGAAACAAGGUGGGAGAGCAGAAUUAAAAGUGGAGAAGCUCUACGUUAUCAGGCUGCAGAAGAGAAGCUCUCUUGGAGGUGAGGGAAAAGACCACUGAUGGAAACCUCAGAAUUGAUGUUCAGUCUUUGGCAGAGGAAGUGGGCUCAUUCCGUUUCUCCAUUUGCUCUUCUCCACUUUCUUUCCUUUGUCCAGCAUAUACAGUAAGCAAGCUUAUGCAGUCCUCUGAUAUGCAGUUAGAUGUACAGUAGCUGUUGAUCUGCUCAAUAAGACACACAGGUCCCUCACUGACUAGAGAGUCUCUGGUUUUGCAGCAGCUCUGGAGGCAACAGCCAAGGAUAUCUGUGAUGCCAUGAAUGUAGAAGCCACACUAAAGCAAAAAAGGUUGAGGUGCACGAAACGUUGCUUUGUCUAUGAAGCUCAUGAUGAAGCUUUUAUUGAUGCAUUAAAGAAGUUAGAAGUGACAUUCUUUAAUGCUGUUGUAGAUGCUGCCAAAUCAUCUAUUGAAGAAAGAUAGAGUCUCAGUGAAAUGAGAGACAAGUUCAGUGUGCUUCUCAAUUUAAAGAGUCUCACACUCUGUGAAUUGGGAGCUCAGUGUGAGACACUUAGUCUCUAUCAAUAACAAAUGACUGACAUCAGUGGCAGGGAACUUGCUCUUGAGUUGACAAACUUGUGAAGGGUGUCAAUGAUUGUUGUCUGGACAACUGUCAGUUCAGCAGUCUUCCCCAUGAUUGUGUAGCCUAGUAAACCAAAUUGAGAGACCAUUUUGAUGGCUCAGGAAACUUUUGCAGAUGUUGUGUUGUGUUUUUAUUUGGGAAGAUGAAAGGGCUGUGGGAUUUCUCCCAUGUCUUUGGUUUGUCAGAGCUAAUAGAAAAGAUUGGUGAAUUGGUCAGAUUCAGGUAGUAGACUCGUUUUGUUAAACCUGUUUCUCAGUGCUGAGUGGAGACAACUUGUAUUUACAUAUGCAGAGAAUCCCGCUGUUUCGAGACCUCUAUUCAGCAGACAGUGCAAUUAAUCAUUCCGAUAUCCUCCUGCCGUGCAACAGACGACCCUGGCCUGACAGAGAGCAUGCAGGUGUGGAUCAAGCUGCUGUAAAAAAAAAUAAACAAAACAACAUCUGAAACUAAAGCUUUUUAUGUUUUUCAUUAAUGAUGCAUAAUUCCACUUUGAAUUUUAGACAUCUUCUCCCAAAUGUCUUUUUAUAAUACAGUUAAGUAUGGGCUUGCCUUUAAAAAUGUAAUACAACACACAUACAUAUUAUAUAAUAGACAUAUUGCAAUCAUGAAGCCAUUUUUAUCAUGUUCAUUAGCAGCUCCAUGGAUUCAAAAUGGUGAGAAGAUUAUAAAUUACAUAUAAGGAAAAAAAUAACCAAGGUUAAAAGGUAUUCUGGCUUACUAAUCUUAACAUUUUAAUCUUUCAUAUCAAAGGAAGGAAAUGGAGACCAGGUAUUGAUUUCUUGUCUCUUAUUCAAUCAAGAAUUUUUUGCUGAUUGUCAUUAGAUUCUUAAUCUAGGAAUUAUUUUCAAGAUCUCUGAUACUAUUCUGUGAUAGUCAUUGACAAAUGAGACAAAUGCAUAUUUAAAACAUGUAUUUGAUAAAUAAAUUUAAAGAAUUUCAGUGUUUUCAUUUUUAAUUGAGUUAAAUUAUCACAUACAAAGAUUAAUCAUGAUUUAAAAUGAUUACAUUUAUCUAUGCAACCCGUAACAGAAAAUUUGAAAAUAUUAUUUAACAACCAUGUGUCAUAAACUUAAAUUUGUGGUUGAACCAUAUGGCAGACUCGCUUAUCCAGAGUAACUUACAUUUAUAUUUAAUUUCAUUUAAUCAUAAAUUAUUUUACUGUGCAAUUUAGGGCUAAUGACAUUGCUCUGGAACUCAGCAGUGGACACUUGGUGGACCUGAGAUUCACACUCACAACCUUCCUAUCAGUACUUUAACAACUUAAACACUAAGCUACCACAGUCUUUAUAUCAAAGUCUGUUGAAUAGCAGCUGCUAAUGAUAUAAGAACAUAUAAAUACUCCUUAUGAGGUAAAAACUCGGAACACAUUAAUUUAAACCUUGCACUUGAAACAAUGUACUGUAUAUUCCUGAUUCAACAACAGUUAAAGAAAUCUGAGAUCCAAUUUUAUCUCCCAUAUCAGAAAGACACAGAAAGCCUCAGGACUGGGCAGCUGGUGAAGAGUAUAAAGGAAAAAACAACUGAACGAAUGAGAAGACACACAGACUCGUGUAUCUGGUGUUUUUACUGCUAACCCACCUUUUGGCCAACCCCAGCUGUGCUUCCAUGUUCACUCAAAACAUACUUCUUGGCCAUUACUGGUAAUAAAUUUAUCUAAUCUAAUCCCAGUGCUCCCUUUGUUGUGAUGGCUUGACCACAGCGCAUCAUACUUCAUCACUCUCUCCUUAUAUCAACGCUUUACUUCUCUCUGUACUGCAUUCAGCAGUUAUAAAUCUAACUGCGUCCCCCUUUGCACCAAUCAAUAUUUAGUUUGAUAUUUGUGUAGCAGCCAUUGUGUAAUCAAUAAAAGGUCAGGGAAAGUAAAUUGCAGUACCCGGCUUAAUGAUUGUGUCUUUUCUUAGAUUGAUGAAAAAAAUGUUUUAUUAUCUGAUUAUUAAGGAAGAAUUAUGUGAGUCAACAUUUAAACUCACAAUCUACUGUAGUAGACUUUUAUGGUCUAUAUUGCAUCAGUAUGUCACGCCAAGGUGCAUGUUGUCCAGUUUUUCUACCCAGCACGUUUUGAUGUCCUAUGCCUAUUGUUCUGAACGCGAGACAAACCAGACCCAAAUGCAGGAUGGAGAAAAACAGAACACUAAACAUGACACGGACUAAAGACAGGACAAGACAACAGUAGAUUCCGCACUGCACAAGGCAACGUGGCACAGUUAAAUAA